This 392-nucleotide long non-coding RNA is filed under the name Heterocephalus glaber (naked mole-rat). Its description in RNAcentral is "lncRNA (ENSHGLG00100043592.1)". The record is from RNAcentral. Lineage: Eukaryota; Metazoa; Chordata; Mammalia; Rodentia; Bathyergidae.
CGAGAGAAAUGCAGACAGGCUUCCCGCAGGAUGUCUUAAUGGUCUUGAUCCGCACCUUGAGGGGCCGAGAGGAGUUGGAGGAGGCAGGGAGUCGUUGCUGUCCUCAUCUGCAGCCUCGGCACCACUAGAGGGACUCUGGGGACUUCGAGGGGGGAGACUUGACCACCAGCCCCUCAUCUUCCUUCAGGUACCCUCACUGGAAGGAGCUGGGGAGGGUGGGGCUCCUGGAAGGGAUGGUUCACAGACCCCAAAUCCAUCCUCGCAUCAGAGAAGCCCCUGAAGCAUCUUCCUUGGUUACUCCCCCAGCCUGGGCCCUUCCCCUUCCUGCACCCCCAGCCAGGGUCUCAGACUGCUCCGGACACACAGUGUUCUUCACGAUGACGCUGACUGUG